RNAcentral lists this ribosomal RNA (427 nucleotides) under uncultured bacterium. RNAcentral describes it as "partial 16S ribosomal RNA". It matches the Rfam family "Bacterial small subunit ribosomal RNA", at positions 355 to 774 of the family's 1533-position model. The record is from RNAcentral.
UGGGGAAUAUUGCACAAUGGGCGCAAGCCUGAUGCAGCCAUGCCGCGUGUAUGGAGAAGGCCUUCGGGUUGUAAAGUACUUUCAGCGAGGAGGAAGGCGUUGUGGUUAAUAACCGCAGCGAUUGACGUUACUCGCAGAAGAAGCACCGGCUAACUCCGUGCCAGCAGCCGCGGUAAUACGGAGGGUGCAAGCGUUAAUCGGAAUUACUGGGCGUAAAGCGCACGCAGGCGGUCUGUCAAGUCGGAUGUGAAAUCCCCGGGCUCAACCUGGGAACUGCAUCCGAAACUGGCAGGCUAGAGUCUUGUAGAGGGGGGUAGAAUUCCAGGUGUAGCGGUGAAAUGCGUAGAGAUCUGGAGGAAUACCGGUGGCGAAGGCGGCCCCCUGGACAAAGACUGACGCUCAGGUGCGAAAGCGUGGGGAGCAAACA